GGGGAUAUAGCUCAAUUUGGAGAGUGNGGCGUUCGCAAUGCCAAGGUUGGGGGUUCGAUNCCCCCUNUCUCCA
This 73-nucleotide transfer RNA is filed under the name Chloroflexota bacterium. RNAcentral describes it as "Chloroflexi bacterium tRNA-Ala". It matches the Rfam family "tRNA". From Rfam's summary of the family: Transfer RNA (tRNA) molecules are approximately 80 nucleotides in length. Their secondary structure includes four short double-helical elements and three loops (D, anti-codon, and T loops). Lineage: Bacteria; Bacillati; Chloroflexota. The record is from RNAcentral.